Molecule: ribosomal RNA, 245 nt
Filed under: uncultured bacterium
Lineage: Bacteria
Description: partial small subunit ribosomal RNA
Rfam family: Bacterial small subunit ribosomal RNA
Source: RNAcentral
AGAAUCAACGCUGGCGGCGUGCCUAACACAUGCAAGUCGAACGAGAAAGUGGAGCAAUCCAUUAGUAAAGUGGCGCACGGGUGAGUAACACGUGACUAACCUACCCUUGAGUGGGGGAUAACCUAGGGAAACCUGGGCUAAUACCGCAUAAUACCUUCGGGUCAAAGGAGCAAUUCGCUUAAGGAGGGGGUCGCGGCCGAUUAGUUAGUUGGCGGGGUAAUGGCCCACCAAGACGAUGAUCGGUA